GCAAGUCGAGCGGUAAGNCCCUUCGGGUACACGAGCGGCGAACGGGUGAGUAACACGUGGGUGAUCUGCCUCGCACUCUGGGAUAAGCCUGGGAAACUGGGUCUAAUACCGGAUAUGACCACGGAUCGCAUGGUUUGUGGUGGAAAGAUUUAUCGGUGCGAGAUGNGCCCGCGGCCUAUCAGCUUGUUGGUGGGGUAAUGGCCUACCAAGGCGACGACGGGUAGCCGACCUGAGAGGGUGACCGGCCACACUGGGACUGAGACACGGCCCAGACUCCUACGGGAGGCAGCAGUGGGGAAUAUUGCACAAUGGGCGAAAGCCUGAUGCAGCGACGCCGCGUGAGGGAUGACGGCCUUCGGGUUGUAAACCUCUUUCGACAGGGACGAAGCGCAAGUGACGGUACCUGUAGAAGAAGCACCGGCCAACUACGUGCCAGCAGCCGCGGUAAUACGUAGGGUGCGAGCGUUGUCCGGAAUUACUGGGCGUAAAGAGCUUGUAGGCGGUUCGUCGCGUCGAUUGUGAAAACUUGCAGCUCAACUGCAAGCUUGCAGUCGAUACGGGCGGACUAGAGUACUUCAGGGGAGACUGGAAUUCCUGGUGUAGCGGUGAAAUGCGCAGAUAUCAGGAGGAACACCGGUGGCGAAGGCGGGUCUCUGGGAAGUAACUGACGCUGAGAAGCGAAAGCGUGGGUAGCGAACAGGAUUAGAUACCCUGGUAGUCCACGNCGUAAACGGUGGGUACUAGGUGUGGGUUUCCUUCCACGGGAUCCGUGCCGUAGCUAACGCAUUAAGUANCCCGCCUGGGGAGUACGGCCGCAAGGCUAAAACUCAAAGGAAUUGACGGGGGCCNGCACAAGCGGCGGAGCAUGUGGAUUAAUUCGAUGCAACGCGAAGAACCUUACCUGGGUUUGACAUACACCAGAAAGCCGUAGAGAUACGGCCCCCCUUGUGGUUGGUGUACAGGUGGUGCAUGGCUGUCGUCAGCUCGUGUCGUGAGAUGUUGGGUUAAGUCCCGCAACGAGCGCAACCCUUAUCUUAUGUUGCCAGCGCGUAAUGGCGGGGACUCGUGAGAGACUGCCGGGGUCAACUCGGAGGAAGGUGGGGACGACGUCAAGUCAUCAUGCCCCUUAUGUCCAGGGCUUCACACAUGCUACAAUGGCCGGUACAGAGGGCUGCGAUACCGUGAGGUGGAGCGAAUCCCUUAAAGCCGGUCUCAGUUCGGAUCGGGGUCUGCAACUCGACCCCGUGAAGUUGGAGUCGCUAGUAAUCGCAGAUCAGCAACGCUGCGGUGAAUACGUUCCCGGGCCUUGUACACACCGCCCGUCACGUCAUGAAAGUCGGUAACACCCGAAGCCGGUGGCCUAACCC
This 1367-nucleotide ribosomal RNA is filed under the name Nocardia nova. RNAcentral's name for it is "bacterial SSU rRNA". It matches the Rfam family "Bacterial small subunit ribosomal RNA". The record is from RNAcentral. Lineage: Bacteria; Bacillati; Actinomycetota; Actinomycetes; Mycobacteriales; Nocardiaceae.